This 253-nucleotide ribosomal RNA is filed under the name uncultured bacterium. RNAcentral's name for it is "partial 16S ribosomal RNA". It matches the Rfam family "Bacterial small subunit ribosomal RNA", at positions 524 to 776 of the family's 1533-position model. The record is from RNAcentral.
UACGAAGGGGGCUAGCGUUGUUCGGAAUCACUGGGCGUAAAGGGCGCGUAGGCGGCUGUUCAAGUCGGGGGUGAAAUCCCGUGGCUCAACCACGGAAUGGCCUUCGAUACUGGACGGCUCGAGGCCGGAAGAGGUGAGUGGAACUGCGAGUGUAGAGGUGAAAUUCGUAGAUAUUCGCAAGAACACCAGUGGCGAAGGCGGCUCACUGGUCCGGUUCUGACGCUGAGGCGCGAAAGCGUGGGGAGCAAACAGG